Molecule: non-coding RNA, 74 nt
Organism: Podarcis lilfordi (Lilford's wall lizard)
Lineage: Eukaryota; Metazoa; Chordata; Lepidosauria; Squamata; Lacertidae
Source: the annotation of a GenBank genome assembly
UGUGUGUGUGUGUGUGUGUGUGUGUGUGUGUGUGCGUGCGUGCGUGUGUGUGCGCGCACGCACACACACACACA